Molecule: long non-coding RNA, 1084 nt
Filed under: Pandoravirus dulcis
Description: putative ncRNA
Source: RNAcentral
CCGGGCGCGCCGCCGGGCACCGUCGCAGGACCGCCAUCGCCGCCGGAUCCGCCAAAGGCGUGCACAAGGCUCUGGCCGUCGGUCAGUGCAGCACCGCCGGCGCCGCCGCCGCCAACAGUACCCUGAUCGGCUGCCACGCCGUUUAUGCUGCCGUCAUUGUCGAUCGUGCCAUCGAGAUUGAGCGUGCCGCUCACAAAGACCCGAUAGCCGUGGGUGCGCAGCCGGGCGCCUACGGGCACGACGAGGUCCAGAUAGUGCACGUCGGCCGCGAGGUCGACCGUGCCCGAAAUCGACACGCUCUCUGUCCCGGCGCCAAACAAGAGGCCGCCCAGCGGCCCCGGCGGUCCGACUUCGCCUGGCGGUCCCUGGUCGCCCGUCGGGCCUGCUGGACCUUGUUCGCCUGGUGGUCCCAUUUCGCCUGCGGGACCGGCGUCGCCGGGCGGUCCAUCUGGGCCGCGUGGACCCUGACCGCCUGCCGCGCCUCGUGUGCCUGGCGGACCCUGGGCUCCAUCUGCUCCCGGUGCGCCAUUCAGUCCAGCCUCGCCGGCCGGGCCUCUGGGUCCGCUCGGUCCCGCCACUCCCCGUUUGCCCGGCGGACCGACAGGACCGGGCGGACCCUGUCUGCCGUGGCGUGCUGCGGUGGGCGCGGAUAGAAUGCGCACAGCGCCGCGGGGCGGCACGGGGCGCGGCAACCUCACAUAGACCUGCAUCACGCGCGUGGCGCCGACACCGACCGGCGCCGUCGACUGCGUGUGCGCCAUCGCGGGGACUGGCGGAUGUGGGAUUGAUUUUCCUCUCUUCCUUUUUCUGUUGCUCCUCUUUCCGUCGCGUGUCGGCCCGUCUGCGCGAUCCCUGCACGGGCAAGCCGCCCGAUGCUAGCCGGUCUCUUUUUUUUUCUUGGUAGUGACCGUGGUGGUACAGCCAGGCCUUACCAUGCCGACCGACGAUCGCACCAUGCCGGCCUGGUGCGGGGAAGACAGAAAGUUGUGCCACCCUUUUUUUUUUCUCUACGACAAAAAUAGAGUCUCGAGUCGGCUACAUUGUCGCCUCUGCACCUUGUGCACAUCCUCGAUCAGCCGAAAAC